This is a non-coding RNA of Rattus norvegicus (Norway rat), 69 nucleotides long. Lineage: Eukaryota; Metazoa; Chordata; Mammalia; Rodentia; Muridae. The record is from Rfam.
GGGGAUUUAGCUCAGUGAUAGAGCGCUUGCCUAGCAAGCACAAGGCCCUGGGUUCGGUCCCCAGCUCCG